Molecule: long non-coding RNA, 3386 nt
Organism: Anas platyrhynchos (mallard)
Lineage: Eukaryota; Metazoa; Chordata; Aves; Anseriformes; Anatidae
Source: RefSeq, a predicted model, not a curated record
UAAUUUUAUUUUUAAUUUUAUUUUUAUUACUUAUUUAUAUAUUUAUUUAUUUGUUUUUAAGACGUAUUGACAACUCCUCCGUGAUGACGGGUUAAAAAAAAAAAAAAAAAGGAGGAGACGCGAGGUUUUUGGGGUGUGUGUGUUUAUGUGUGUGUGUAUCGGGUGUGACACCCCAGCCGCGCUCCUCCUUCAAAUCGCUCCGAGGGAGGUGAGCGGGGAACACUGGACCCCCUCCCCACCCUCUUCCCUCCUCGGGGACCCGCACAGCCCGGGGCUGCGGGAGGGGAGGGCGGGUGGCUGGAUGGGGAGCCCCCACCGCAUGCCCCCGCCGCGGUUCUUGCAGGAGCCGCCCCGAGUGGGUCUCAUCCUUCCCAUCCUCGGCAGGAGCACGGGGGACCACCCCAGGGAAAGGGGGGUCGGUCACGGCGGCAUCCUCCGGUGCGGGGUUCGCGGUCGCGGCGCCCGCCUCCACCCCCGGCACGGCGCUGGGGGGGGGGGCUCUGGGGCGCGGGGGGAGGCCGGAGGCUGGAAAGGUGAGAGCUUGGAUUGCCGGAGUGCCGAAAGGAAGCUGCCAUUUGCGAGCUGUGAGUGACGAGCGUGUGAAAAAGGACAGAUACUGUUCAGUGGACUUGGAAUUGUCUUUAGAGUUCAGUUAGAAGACGCACCCAGGACAUCCCACAUGGACCUCUUCACAACAACCACCGUGAUGUGAUGGGCAUACCAUUUGCAGGUACUAGGGUCUCCAAUCUGUCUAGCAUCUAGCCAGUAUCAAGGGGUUAGGAGCUACUGUGAUGCAUGAGAUGAGUCAUCUGCUGCUGAGAUCUUGGAAGCAAGACUAAUCAUUAACACACAUAUUGUUGGCAGUCUAAACUGUUCCCAUAUCACAACCCAGAGUUAUAGGAGACAGGAACUCUCACCUUGCCUAGCUGAAACGUCACUGCUCUCUGCAUUCUCACCACGGCAUUGCUCACACAGUGGAAUAAAUUGUACUUGCUUGGCAAAACAAAGCUUUUAGUUAGGCCAGCAAGAAGUUUCAGAGUCUCAGAGAACUCGGAGAAAUACUUUUUUAGAUACUUUUAUUAGUAGUAUUUUUUUAUUUUUUUUUAGACAUGGGGACUUUUCCUUUCAUGAACAGGUCUUCCUCAUAUUCCUUGAUUUUGGCCAACAAGGUUCACAAAGAGAAUGUGCUUCAAAGAGCUAUGAGUGGACAAGUACUAAAAUUCUGCGUAUUCCCACUGCAGUGGCUGUUAACCCUAGUAGAAAUUAGGCAGAUGCCUGCCCAAUAUUAUUAUUAGAUUUUAUGUUUCACACAAAUGAUAAAUCAUUGCUAUAAAUGUUGGAAAUAAUUUCUACCGUUAACAUUGAGAAUACAUGAUGUAUUGCUCCAAGAUGUAUUCCAUUUACAUCUCUUUCCAUCCCUUUUCCUUUGAUCUCUUUUCUUUUUCACGAUUUUUGUAGACUCUGUUUUGCUCUUCUUUCCAGAAUUAAAACUUCAUGUGGUAGUCCAGAGGAGGUCAGAUUAAACUUGUAUUAUGAAUACUUUGAAGAGACAUUUUCAAUCCAAGCAAGUAAACAAUUUCCAUUUUUGAAAUAAUAGGAAUUCAUAUCUGCCAACAUUACAUUCUGUCAAACAUUGAAUAGAGUUAAAAAAAUAAUAAUAAAAGAAACAUUUAGUUUGGUCCUAAAAAAAAAAAAAGUAUAUAUAUCUUUAAGACAUUAUACAUUUUAUUUUAUUUUGUUUUAAUUUUUUCUAAUACAUUUUUUCCUAUCAUUAAUGUAACAUUGUUUUUGGAAGUUACUAAUUACACUACUCUGAUAACCACAUGGGACCUUAAUUAAAGAUUGUAAUACACUGCAAAAUGUACAUGUGUAUAAUGAAAAGGCAAUUAAAAUAUGUUUUUAGAUAACUAGGUUUUAUUGCUUAGACUAAACCAAAUAGAUACAUUUUCUUAAAAAAAAAAAAAAAAAAAAAAAAGUCAUGAUAUUUCUCUGUGUUGCAGUUGUUCUCUGCUAUCCAGCAGUGAAAACAAUAAUUAUUAUCAGUUCUUCAUGUUCUUAAAGUUGGCAGUGAUAUUAGUUUGCAUGAAGAAUAUAGCCAUGCCAAAACACAGUUAUCACUUUAGAGGAGAGGCUGCCAAAGCCUCUGGUGAGACUUGCCAAAAAAACAGUCACAGUAGGGUGUCUUUAGGAGCUCUCUAUCCCUGUGCGUAUAGGUCUUGCUCUUAAGGAUAAUCACCUGCCACUGAAUGGAGCUAUUCACUGAGGCCAAGGGAGUGACUUAAAUACAGUCUCAAGCCUUUAAAAGCUGCAAAGGUGCCAAUGCUCUCACUUUAUCAGGAGUCUCCUGACACUUGGUUAACUUGGGCUCAGUGCCACAUUAACACUACCACCCAGCCUUGGAACUGAAGUUGCUUUGUAGCUGGCCAGCUGGAGUUUGGGAUAGGUUGACACAUGAAUCUUUAUAUCUGCAUCUACAGCCUUAUUCUCAGUCUUCAAAUGUAUCCAAAAAUGGAAUGCAAAUAAGAAAAGAAAAGAAAAGAAAAGAAAAGAAAAGAAAAGAAAAGAAAAGAAAAGAAAAGAAAAGAAAAGAAAAGAAAAGAAAAGAAAAGAAAAGAAAAGAAAAGAAAAGAAAAGAAAAGAAAAGAAAAGAAAAGAAAAGAAAAGAAAAAAAGAAAAGAAAAGAAAAAGAAAAUCUUACUGGAAAUCUAUGUCCCACUCUUUUUAUCAUCCCUCUUCUACAUUUUACAUGAGACAAGGUUAACUGAGCCCAGGAAAUGAAUAUGGUAUGGUGAACUCAUAUAUAUGUCACUCAGCUGAGAGCAAGUAGCUAGUUUCCAUGAAAAAAAUCUUGCUCUGAUGUGAAAGAAUUCAGAUGAAAAGAGUGAGAUGCUUAUUUUGAGAGCCUACACACCUUGGAGGAAUAAGCACCAAAGGGAAUGAGUUUGAAAAGUGGUGAUAAAUUCCACUCCCUGUCUAGGCUGGCAGUUAAACCAUUCAUCCAGUGCGCAGAUCUUCAAAUCUUGAGGCAAUUGAUGCUUCCUUCUUCCCCAUACAGCAGUGCCUCUCUGACCUCCUAAGAGAGGAGCAGGAUUUUGGUGACAAGAGUUACUGAUAAAUUUUUGCCUUUGCUCUUGAAAUUAAGUCAUUGUAUACAGAAGAGACAAGUGACUACAAAAAAAAAAAAAAAAAAGUUCUCCAACAGUCCUUUGAGUGGGAGAGAAAUGGAAUUCUAGUUCUCUCUCAGAAUAGAUAUGUAUUUCUUAUGCCAUUCAGUUACAAAGACCGAAGGAUAGGAAUAUUUCAAUGGCAGUAAACACCUGGGGAAAAAAAAAAAAAAAAAAAAAAAAAAAAAAAAAGACAGAUUUCCAUCUUUCCUAUUAAAUUUG